This 303-nucleotide ribosomal RNA is filed under the name uncultured bacterium. RNAcentral describes it as "partial 16S ribosomal RNA". It matches the Rfam family "Bacterial small subunit ribosomal RNA", at positions 507 to 807 of the family's 1533-position model. The record is from RNAcentral.
AGCAGUAGCCGCGGUAAUGCGAAGGGUGCAAGCGUUAAUCGGAAUUACUGGGCGUAAAGGGUGCGUAGGCGGUUGUUUAAGUCUGUUGUGAAAUCCCCGGGCUCAACCUGGGAAUGGCAGUGGAUACUGGCAAGCUAGAGUGUGUCAGAGGAUGGUGGAAUUCCCGGUGUAGCGGUGAAAUGCGUAGAGAUCGGGAGGAACAUCAGUGGCGAAGGCGGCCAUCCGGGACAACACUGACGCUGAGGCACGAAAGCGUGGGGAGCAAACAGGAUUAGAUACCCGCGUAGUCCCUGUCUCUUAUAC